RNAcentral lists this long non-coding RNA (685 nucleotides) under Homo sapiens (human). RNAcentral's name for it is "non-protein coding lnc-FBXO9-6:1". Lineage: Eukaryota; Metazoa; Chordata; Mammalia; Primates; Hominidae. The record is from RNAcentral.
ACCACCUGCUCCACCUCUGUGGCCUCCUGGACCACCUAUGGGUCUUCCUCCUGGACCACCCCCAGGAGUUCCUCCAGGCAUUCCUGAGACCACCUGGAAUGCCAGGCCUCUGAGGGCUUUUACCCCAACAUUUACCUCCAGGACCACCAGUAGGCUGACUCCCGGCCCCUCUCCCAGGCCCUCUCCCACCUCCAGGUCUUUCUCCUGGGAACAACCACCAAAGCGACCUCCCCCUGCACCUUCAGGUAUCCCUCUUUCUCAUCCUGGCAGGAUGAUCCACCUUUGGUGCCUCCACAUAGACUUGCCCCUAUCCACCCUUGGUUUUUUCCACCAGCUCCCUUGCUAAACCCUGCGAUUUUCAGUGCACCACCCACCUUGAUUCGGCAACCCAAGGUGGAUGAUAUGAGUGUGGCCACCAUUGAGAAGAAAGCCACAACAACCACCAGUGCCAAGCCACAGAUCACUGCUAAUUCCAAGGCAGAGCUUACUUGAUUUGUGCCCAUGGCAUUGAGAGUAGAUCGGGAAAAUGAAAGGGCUACUGCCACUCCUCCAAGAAAAGUCAGUGGAUGAUUCUGCUGUGCCUCUUGCCAAAGCAGCUCUCAAAUCUGGUUCUUCCAUUCCUGUCUCAGUACAGACCAAGGAUGAUGUUUUGGGACUUUCAUGAAAGCUGGAAGGGUUACUGUGA